Planococcus citri (citrus mealybug) is the source of this 1483-nucleotide long non-coding RNA. RefSeq lists it as uncharacterized. The record is from RefSeq and is a predicted model, not a curated record. The transcript has 4 exons. NCBI's taxonomy places the organism in Eukaryota, Metazoa, Arthropoda, Insecta, Hemiptera, Pseudococcidae.
CUGUUGGGGUGGUGUUGCCUGUAUUUGUAGCUAUUUGCUCUGUGUUCUGUGUGUCGGACAUCUCUCUUCUUUGUGCCGUGUGCACUAUGUGGAUCAUUUGUACUUACUUCAUUUUGUUAUUAGUAAUUUUGUGUUAGUUCAACUUUUUCUUAUAUGUACAAUGUACAUAGUAAUCCUUUAAACAGUGAUAUUUUUCAUCAAUCUGAUACCUGAAGACAGAUAUCACAUGUACAUAUAAGUGUAUUGUGGAAGUGUACUUAACGGCCAACAGCUCAUAAGAAAAUACAAUUCCGCCAUAAUGUGGAAGAAGGAUAUAAUCCGAAAUUUGGAAUUAAAUCAAUCCAUAGCAUUGCCCUGCAGCAGUAAGGAUACAAUUCCCACAAUGUGGAAGAAGGAUAAAAUACGAAAUUGGAAAUCGAAUCAAUCGCCGUUAUUGCUCUGCAGCAAUAAAGAAAAUGUAGGAGAGCAUAGCAAUGCACUGAUAAGAAUUGAGCAAAUAGAGGAACUGAACUUCGAUUCUGUGGAGCAUUCUGACACCAAACAAAAUUACCAAUUGCCGACGCUUCGCAAAACUCGGUCACAAACCAGACAAGGAUCUUCAGAUGCGCGUACGAGUACACCAAAUACCACAAAACAUUCAAAAAUGACGCAGCCAAAGAGUUAUGGAUGCCAUUGGGAAUCGUGCCAGUUCCGCGCUCACGCCAUCAAAGUUUUGAUAAAUCACAAGGCAGGACACGGCAUCCAGCCGGACAGAAAGUUCGCCCAUCGGAAACGGAAGAACAAGGCGAACGCGCAUCUCUACCUGAGCCGCAAAGUCUCUCAACGAACGAGGGUGAAGAAAACGAAGGAAACCAUUAGAAUCAGGCAAGCAGCGGCAGCAGCAGCAGCAGCAGCGGCGGCAGCAGCUGCAGCGGAGGCAGCUCGGCAGUUGCGGCGGAGGCAGCUACAGCGGAGGCAGCUACAGCGGAGGCAGCUACAGCGGAGGCAGCUACAGCGAAGGCAGCCGCAGCAGAGGCAUCUACAGCGAAGGCAGCUGCAGCGGAGGCAGCUACAGCGGAGGCAGCCAUAGAAGCCAUGACCACAUUGAUGCCGCGGAUCCAUUUGUCCGGCUGCGCGGCCAUUACCCAUACAGACGCUGACACUUGCUCAGACAGCAAUCUCUCACUCUCUGAGUGUCUUGCCAACACAAAUUUCCAAACAUCCCUUGUUUUGCAGGAGAAAAAAUCCCACCUUUUACUGAAAAUCUGUAGAGGGAGAAUAUAAAAAGUGAUACAUGUUUUGGACAAAUACUACUUAGCCUCCGCAUAUUUGUCCUCAACCAAUUAAUAUUCUGACUCACACUUACAUGGAACAUUGAGAUAUCAGCUCAAUGGACCGUCCUAGUAACACACAUGUUCACUGUUUCCUAAAGGCUAACAAGCAACAGCCAUGUGAGACAUCAUAAGACCAUUUGAGUGGGUUAUGAAUUAAUAUUCGCGUAAAU